UGAGGAAUCUUGCGCAAUGGGGGAAACCCUGACGCAGCAACGCCGCGUGAGUGAGGAAGGUCUUCGGAUCGUAAAGCUCUGUCAGUUGGAAAGAAAUGUCUGAGAGUCAAUCCCUUUCAGGCUUGACGGUACCAACAGAGGAAGCACCGGCUAACUCCGUGCCAGCAGCCGCGGUAAUACGGGGGGUGCAAGCGUUGUUCGGAAUUAUUGGGCGUAAAGAGCGUGUAGGCGGCCGGAUAUGUCAGAUGUGAAAGCCCCGGGCUUAACCCGGGAAGUGCAUUUGAAACUGUCCGGCUCGAGUAAGGGAGAGGGAAGUGGAAUUCCUGGUGUAGAGGUGAAAUUCGUAGAUAUCAGGAGGAACACCGGUGGCGAAGACGACUUCCUGGCCCUAUACUGACGCUGAGACGCGAGAGCGUGGGUAGCAAACAG
RNAcentral lists this ribosomal RNA (429 nucleotides) under uncultured bacterium. RNAcentral describes it as "bacterial SSU rRNA". It matches the Rfam family "Bacterial small subunit ribosomal RNA", at positions 355 to 775 of the family's 1533-position model. The record is from RNAcentral.